Molecule: long non-coding RNA, 1511 nt
Filed under: Sus scrofa (pig)
Lineage: Eukaryota; Metazoa; Chordata; Mammalia; Artiodactyla; Suidae
Description: lncRNA (ENSSSCG00015030963.1)
Source: RNAcentral
AAACCACCUGUGUAUUUACCUCCCCCAGGAACACAGCCCCUUCUGGAGGGCUGGGCCUUGCCAUCCUUCUUGCCUCUUCCUCAAAAAGUGUUUUCAGAGAUGAAAUGAAAAUAAAAAUUGAGGAACAUUUUGGGCCGUGGAAAAGAGUAAGUUACAAAGGUGACUUUGGGUAGUGAAAAAAGAUAUUUUUGAAGGCAUCUUGUUUGGACAUGUGCAUAUAUGAGGACUUAGCAUAUAUAUUUAUGGCACACACACAAACACCAGUUCUGCAAUUAGUCUAGAGUAGUUUAUAUUAAGGAAAUUUGCAGAAGACUUUAUUUCUUCUCUCUCUCUUUUUUUUUUUUUGGUUUUUAGGGCCACCCUUGCGGCAUAUGGAGGUUCCCAGGCUAGGGCUGUGGCCACUGGCCUACGCCGCAGCCACAGCAAUGCCAGAUCCGAGCUGCAUCUUCAGUCUACACCACAACGCACUGCAACACCAGAUCCUUAACCACUGAAUGAGGCCAGGAAUCAAACCUGCAUCUUCAUGGAUGCUAGGCAGAUUGGUUUCCGCUGAACCACUACGGGAACUCCGAGAGAAGACUUUUUUUAAAAGGCGAUUUGAAAAGGAAAUCCAUUGCUUUAUUUUUACACUUGGGAAUCGAACUUGGUUAGUCCUUUUCCAGGUUGAAUCAUUGUUUGUUUACAUACAAUAUUUGAUUGCCUAGAACAUUCUAGGGCUUCAACAAUACAAGGACAGAGUGUACCUUGCAUCCCUCCCACAUCUUUGCCAGGGAUGUUUGAUGGACAGGAGGCAGGGACUGGGCUAGGGAGAAGCUAGGACUGUGAAGUUAGACAGAAUUGGAUUUUGAAUCCUGAUUCGACUUGAAGAGUUCCGUCAAUCCUCUUACAUGUAUAAAAUAGUAACAAUAGCUACUGUUUAUUAAGCACCUACCAGUGAGGCACUGGUUAGUUGCUUUAUUUAUGCAUUGCUUAAGAGUUCAGUAUUAAUCCCUUUUGACACAAGACACAGACCAAGUCAUAGACCACAUCACCCAGCAUGAAGUACAAAGCCAGUAAAAUGCUCAGGGAAGUGAAGGCAGGCUUUGCCUUCAGGUGUCCCCAUAGACCUUAGUACUUGCUCUUUAUGUAUUGUGACUUUUUAUAAGAUGUUUGCAUUUUAACAGAAGGCUCUUCUAUACCUGAGUGUCUUACAUACAGAAUGGCUGCCUUUCCGAAGGGAACAAGUUCAGUGGUGGAGGAGAUACUUUAAUGCCUGCCUUCUGGUACUAUAUUCAUUAUCCUGUGAUAAACCGUAAUGGAAAAGGCUAUGAAAAAGAAUACCUGUGUGUGUAUGUGUGUGUGUGUGUGUGUGUAUAUAGGAAUAUAUAUAUAAAAUGGAAUCACAUAUAUAUAAUAUGGAAUUUUAUAUAUAUAUAUAAUGUAUAUAAUGGAAUCCCUUUUCUCUGCAGCAGAAAUUAAUACAACAUUGUAAACCAACUAUAGUUCAAUAAAAUUUUUUAAAAAGAAACUAG